GAUGAACGCUGGCGGCGUGCCUAAUACAUGCAAGUCGAGCGAACAGACGAGGAGCUUGCUCCUCUGACGUUAGCGGCGGACGGGUGAGUAACACGUGGAUACCUACCUAUAAGACUGGGAUAACUUCGGGAAACCGGAGCUAAUACCGGAUAAUAUAUUGAACCGCAUGGUUCAAUAGUGAAAGACGGUUUUGCUGUCACUUAUAGAUGGAUCCGCGCCGCAUUAGCUAGUUGGUAAGGUAACGGCUUACCAAGGCAACGAUGCGUAGCCGACCUGAGAGGGUGAUCGGCCACACUGGAACUGAGACACGGUCCAGACUCCUACGGGAGGCAGCAGUAGGGAAUCUUCCGCAAUGGGCGAAAGCCUGACGGAGCAACGCCGCGUGAGUGAUGAAGGUCUUCGUAUCGUAAAACUCUGUUAUUAGGGAAGAACAAAUGUGUAAGUAACUAUGCACGUCUUGACGGUACCUAAUCAGAAAGCCACGGCUAACUACGUG
Molecule: ribosomal RNA, 496 nt
Filed under: uncultured bacterium
Lineage: Bacteria
Description: partial 16S ribosomal RNA
Rfam family: Bacterial small subunit ribosomal RNA
Source: RNAcentral